CCUGAAUUUACCUGCCAGCUCUCCACCGCUCCUUCACGGAACUACUUGAUUAUUAUCUGCCCAGAACCUGGAACUUGGACUCACAAAGAGAUAAAGGAACCCGAACCCACGGACUACUCCUCCCGGACCGAAUAUUCUCACCCAUACAAAGCUUCGACUGCUCCAAGAGACUUUCCCCCUCUACCCAGACCGAUCCCAGCAGAUUACUCUCUCUGCCUGUUAUUAGCGACACAGGAUGACCUAACCCACUCGACAUACACUUGUCAAGCAGCUGCAGCCAAACUCAUCUCAUUACCGUAGCACCACUUGAUGUGUGCGGCACAGCAGGUAUGGUGAAACAGGACUCCAGGUGAGCCUGACAUCUGUCAAACAUCUGUUUGACUGACCCGGUGCUACAUGACGUCCGCUGUGAUCUAAUGCAGCUCUGCAAAUCCAGCAGAGGAGAAAACCGCUUAAUGUUGUGAGCUCUGCAUGUUUUAAAGGAAUCCUUUUUUAAAGUGGCAGUAUUAUGUAUUGUUAUGUUACCUUCAUUUGUUAUAAAACUGCUCUAUGUAUCAAAUAUGACUUAAAAGAAAUUCAACUUUGUAAUUUGACACCUUGAAAUUGAGAAUCUGCAAAUCUCCAGGGAUUGUUGGAUGGCAAACAACCAGGGAGGGAGAGAGGGAGGAUGGAUGGAUGGAUGGAUGGAUGGAUGGAUGGAUGGAUACUGUCUACCAAACAGGUCACCAUCUGCAUGAUUGACUUCGUUUGACCUUUGUUUGGCCUUGCAGCUGCUCUGUCCCGCCUGCAGCCAGAGCAGGCUCCUGUAUGGAACAGAGGACUUCCAUACAGACGCGGUAAGUUUUAUAUGAUCAUCUCUUUUGUAUGCAUGUUAACAUCCAGUCAGGCAGCAUCGUCCUCCUGAAAAAGCUGGGCAUAUUCCAAUCAGCUCUGUGUUCAGCUUUGACGAUCCCCAAAGCUACUUCAAGCACCAUCAUUAUACAGUCACAAGCAACCAGUGGGGUUGCAGAGAAAGAGGAGCAAGCAGCACGACACUGCUGGUAACAGAGAUGUGCUCUGGUUGCCCCAAAUGUUGGUUCUCCAGCUAGCUGCAGAACUGCUCCAUGAAUAGUUUCACUUUUCAGGACUUCUAGGUCCUUCUGGUUUAGUUAUGUUUGUGAAGUUUAUAGGCAACGCUUGUGUGACAUUGCCAAGGGCAGCUUUUAAAUAGAAAACACCCCAGUACAUGCAUGCCCUGCUAACAGUGUAAUUCAGGUCUGUCCUUUCAUUCAGAACAUAUGAAGGAGGUUGCUUUACAUAGAUAUAUUGCCAAACUGCAAAGGUAAAUGAUAAAAGGCUCUGCAGAGGGAAGCUGCUGAAAAUAGACUUGAUGCACUUAAAAGUGAAGAUGUACUGUAACUUAUAUAGAAAAUGUUUUUGAUAUUUGUUAAAAUUAUCAUCAUGUCUUUGCUUUGUCUUCUUCUAGGAAUAACUGCAGAAACAACCAAUCAGAGCCUGGAGGAGGGUCUUAGCGCUGUCAAUCAAUCUCCUUUACGCACUGUUCACCCCUUGCUCUCUGUUACGCUACAGCUAGUUCAUCAUAACAUAGCCUGCCAUGAAUGCUAACGCUAUUUAGCAUGGCCACCGAUGACAGCGGAUACAGUUUCCUGAACCAGUAAGUUGUUUCCCACUGGCCCAUUGAGCAUGAUUGACAGCACUAAGCCCCUUUUCCUGGCUCUGAUUGGAGGAGAUAGAUUUUUUGCAGAUUUCAUACUAUACUGUCACACAUAUUGACAGUUUUAACAAAUAUGGAAAAAUAUUUUUGUAAAAGUUACAGUGCAACUUUAAGUAGUAAUGCGAAAGGCAAAGAACAACUUUGAGAUGCAGAGAGAAAUGUAAAUUUCAAUCAAAACAAUCCCAUCUUUAAGCAAACGCAGAGAUGGUAGUGAACAUCAGACUAUUAAGCCCCCAUGAGUUCAGCACAGUAACGUCUCUGACAGUGAUGUCAGUACUUAGUAACGCGUUACUGACGUCGGACCACUUUUUUCAGUAAAGCGUAAUCUAACGAGUUGCUAUUUCAAAUCUAGUAGUCAGACUACAGUUACUUAUUGAAAUCAGUCUGCGUUACUGUGCGUUACUAUUUUCU
Molecule: long non-coding RNA, 2125 nt
Organism: Xiphophorus couchianus (Monterrey platyfish)
Lineage: Eukaryota; Metazoa; Chordata; Actinopteri; Cyprinodontiformes; Poeciliidae
Exons: 3
Source: RefSeq, a predicted model, not a curated record